GGGAACUUAGCAUAUCAAUAAGCGGAGGAAAAGAAACCAACAGGGAUUGCCCUAGUAACGGCGAGUGAAGCGGCAACAGCUCAAAUUUGAAAUCUGGCUCUUUCAGAGUCCGAGUUGUAAUUUGCAGAGGGCGCUUUGGCUUUGGCAGCGGUCCAAGUUCCUUGGAACAGGACGUCACAGAGGGUGAGAAUCCCGUACGUGGUCGCUAGCUAUUGCCGUGUAAAGCCCCUUCGACGAGUCGAGUUGUUUGGGAAUGCAGCUCUAAAUGGGAGGUAAAUUUCUUCUAAAGCUAAAUAUUGGCCAGAGACCGAUAGCGCACAAGUAGAGUGAUCGAAAGAUGAAAAGCACUUUGGAAAGAGAGUCAAACAGCACGUGAAAUUGUUGAAAGGGAAGCGCUUGCAGCCAGACUUGCUUGCAGUUGCUCAUCCGGGCUUUUGCCCGGUGCACUCUUCUGUAGGCAGGCCAGCAUCAGUUUGGGCGGUGGGAUAAAGGUCUCUGUCACGUACCUCUCUUCGGGGAGGCCUUAUAGGGGAGACGACAUACCACCAGCCUAGACUGAGGUCCGCGCAUCUGCUAGGAUGCUGGCGUAAUGGCUGUAAGCGGCCCGUCUUGAAACACGGACCAAGGAGUCUAACAUCUAUGCGAGUGUUUGGGUGUCAAGCCCGAGCGCGUAAUGAAAGUGAACGGAGGUGGGAACCCGCAAGGGUGCACCAUCGACCGAUCCUGAAGUUUACGGAAGGAUUUGAGUAAGAGCAUGGCUGUUGGGACCCGAAAGAUGGUGAACUAUGCUUGAAUAGGGUGAAGCCAGAGGAAACUCUGGUGGAGGCUCGCAGCGGUUCUGACGUGCAAAUCGAUCGUCAAAUUUGGGCAUAGGGGCGAAAGACUAAUCGAACUAUCUAGUAGCUGGUUCCUGCCG
This 916-nucleotide ribosomal RNA is filed under the name Bipolaris maydis (southern corn leaf blight pathogen). Its description in RNAcentral is "partial large subunit ribosomal RNA". It matches the Rfam family "Eukaryotic large subunit ribosomal RNA", at positions 29 to 963 of the family's 3401-position model. Lineage: Eukaryota; Fungi; Ascomycota; Dothideomycetes; Pleosporales; Pleosporaceae. The record is from RNAcentral.